CCUACGGGUGGCAGCAGUGAGGAAUAUUGGUCAAUGGACGCAAGUCUGAACCAGCCAUGCCGCGUGCAGGAAGACUGCUCUAUGAGUUGUAAACUGCUUUUGUACGGGGAUAAACGCAGAUACGCGUACCUUUCUGAAAGUAUCUUACGAAUAAGGAUCGGCUAACUCCGUGCCAGCAGCCGCGGUAAUACGGAGGAUUCAAGCGUUAUCCGGAUUUAUUGGGUUUAAAGGGUGCGUAGGCGGGUGGUUAAGUCAGAGGUGAAAUUCUGAGGCUCAACUUUGAAAUUGCCUUUGAUACUGGUCGUCUAGAGAGUAGUUGAGGUAGGCGGAAUGCAUGGUGUAGCGGUGAAAUGCUUAGAGAUCAUACAGAACCCCGAUUGCGAAGGCAGCUUACCAAGCUACUUCUGACGUUGAGGCACGAAAGCGUGGGGAGCAAACAGGAUUAGAUACCCGUGUAGUC
RNAcentral lists this ribosomal RNA (460 nucleotides) under uncultured bacterium. RNAcentral's name for it is "partial 16S ribosomal RNA". It matches the Rfam family "Bacterial small subunit ribosomal RNA", at positions 338 to 795 of the family's 1533-position model. The record is from RNAcentral.